AGAGUUUGAUCCCGGCUCAGGAGGAACGCUAGCGGCAGGCCUGAUACAUGCAAGUCGAGGGGCAGCGCAGUGUAGCAAUACAUGGGCGGCGACCGGCAAACGGGUGCGGAACACGUACGCAACCUUCCUUCAAGCGGGGAAUAGCCCAGAGAAAUUUGGAUUAAUACCCCAUAAGAACGUAGAGAGGCAUCUCUCAGCAUUUAAAGAACUAUCACUGGAAGAUGGGCGUGCGUCUGAUUAGGUAGAUGGCGAGGUAACGGCUCACCAAGCCGACGAUCAGUAACUGGCGUGAGAGCGCGACCAGUCACACGGGCACUGAGACACGGGCCCGACUCCUACGGGAGGCAGCAGUAAGGAAUAUUGGUUCAAUGGACGGAAGUUCUGAACCAGCCAUGUCCGUUCGUUGUGUAGGUAUGAAGGUCCUCUGGAUUGUCAACACUUCUUUUAUC
Molecule: ribosomal RNA, 449 nt
Filed under: Sphingobacteriales cum 'Crenotrichaceae' bacterium A-9-25-1
Lineage: Bacteria; Pseudomonadati; Bacteroidota; Sphingobacteriia; Sphingobacteriales
Description: bacterial SSU rRNA
Rfam family: Bacterial small subunit ribosomal RNA
Source: RNAcentral